Molecule: ribosomal RNA, 505 nt
Filed under: uncultured bacterium
Lineage: Bacteria
Description: partial 16S ribosomal RNA
Rfam family: Bacterial small subunit ribosomal RNA
Source: RNAcentral
GACGAACGCUGGCGGCGUGCCUAAUACAUGCAAGUAGAACGCACAGUUUAUACCGUAGCUUGCUACACCAUACACUGUGAGUUGCGAACGGGUGAGUUACGCGUAGGUAACCUGCCUGGUAGCGGGGGAUAACUAUUGGAAACGAUAGCUAAUACCGCAUAAUAUUGAUUAUUGCAUGAUAAUUGAUUGAAAGAUGCUAUUGCCUCACUACCAGAUGGACCUGCGUUGUAUUAGCUAGUAGGUGAGGUAACGGCUCACCUAGGCGACGAUACAUAGCCGACCUGAGAGGGGGAUCGGCCACACUGGGACUGAGACACGGCCCAGACGCCUACGGGAGGGAGCAGUAGGGAAUCUUCGGGAAGGGGCGUAAGUCUGACCGAGCAACGCCGCGGGAGGGAAGAAGGUUGUCGGGUCGUAAAGCUCGGUUGUAAGAGAAGAACGGGUGUUAGAGUGGAAGGUUCACACUGUGACGGUAUCUUACCAGAAAGGGACGGCUAACUACGUG